Molecule: small nuclear RNA, 103 nt
Organism: Echinops telfairi (small Madagascar hedgehog)
Lineage: Eukaryota; Metazoa; Chordata; Mammalia; Afrosoricida; Tenrecidae
Source: Ensembl
AUGCUCGCUUCGUCAGCACACUUACUAAAAUUGGAACGAUACAGAGACCAUUAGCAUGGACCCUGUGCAAGGAAGUUCUGCAAAUUCGUGAAGCGUUCUUUUU